UGUACACUGAAAAAAAGGGAUUGGCCAACUCUUCGAUUUACGUUUUGAUGCAUCAGGGGUGGCUGGUUCCCUGGCCGUGCUGUGUGGAUGGGCAGGACGGACCUUUCUUAUAGCGUCGCUUCACUCUCAGCCUGAGGCGACAACCCUCCUUUUCUCCAACCUACCCACUUCCAACCUGCUCCCCUCCCUUCCUGCACCAUUGCUGCUCAAUUACAAUAAUAGCAAUAAUAACCUUAUCUACCCAGUGCUUAAAAGACCAGAAUAAUUAAAUGUGAGAUAAGAUAGUACAAUAAUAAAUAAAGGGGGGUCA
Molecule: long non-coding RNA, 310 nt
Filed under: Oreochromis niloticus (Nile tilapia)
Lineage: Eukaryota; Metazoa; Chordata; Actinopteri; Cichliformes; Cichlidae
Description: lncRNA (ENSONIG00000025852.2)
Source: RNAcentral